This 68-nucleotide transfer RNA is filed under the name Marmota monax (woodchuck). Its description in RNAcentral is "tRNA.Ala". Lineage: Eukaryota; Metazoa; Chordata; Mammalia; Rodentia; Sciuridae. The record is from RNAcentral.
GUUGUGGCUCAGCGGUAGAGCACUCGCCUAGCAUAUGCAAGGCCCUGGGUUCCAUUCUCAGCACGACA